Molecule: long non-coding RNA, 270 nt
Organism: Zea mays
Lineage: Eukaryota; Viridiplantae; Streptophyta; Magnoliopsida; Poales; Poaceae
Exons: 2
Source: RefSeq, a predicted model, not a curated record
UCAUAUUUUUGAAAUUCAUAGCGACAGUCAUACCGACUAUCGAGUACGAUUAUACAAUGGACGUCGACCUUGGCAGUACAAGAUGAUUAUUGGUUGGCUUGAAGCUUGUCACUUGGCUCGGGAAAAGGAAGCACCCUACCAGAAGGCACAGGGAGGCUGAAUUGCGUGUUUAUGGUUGAACAUUUGUGCAUAUGUGCUUGUUCCUUGGAUCGGUUUGCAUUUGUGAACAAACUCUGAAAAGCUCAAAGGCAAGACCCAUCUUGUACAUUC